RNAcentral lists this long non-coding RNA (252 nucleotides) under Cyanistes caeruleus (blue tit). RNAcentral describes it as "lncRNA (ENSCCEG00000009797.1)". The record is from RNAcentral. Lineage: Eukaryota; Metazoa; Chordata; Aves; Passeriformes; Paridae.
AUUAACUGCCCCAGACAAGUUUUACUGCCUCAAGGUCACAGAGUAAUGGUGCACUGAAAGGCUACAGAAAUGCAGCAAAACAAGUCCCUUGGUGCUGGGGAGACCAGAGCACUUUUUCCAGGAAAGGCAGAGCUCUGUGCACACCUAUAAAGCUUCAUCCAGGCUAGGUGAAGAUAAAGAGCAUUUGUUGAGGAGGAAGGAAGAUUCCACCUCCACAGCUCCAACUGUGAGGCCUCACCAAUAAACAGAGGC